RNAcentral lists this ribosomal RNA (406 nucleotides) under uncultured bacterium. RNAcentral describes it as "partial 16S ribosomal RNA". It matches the Rfam family "Bacterial small subunit ribosomal RNA", at positions 30 to 526 of the family's 1533-position model. The record is from RNAcentral.
AUUGAACGCUGGCGGCAGGCCUAACACAUGCAAGUCGAGCGAGCGGCGGACGGGUGAGUAAUGUCUGGGAAACUGCCUGAUGGAGGGGGAUAACUACUGGAAACGGUAGCUAAUACCGCAUACCAUCAGAUGUGCCCAGAUGGGAUUAGAUAGUAGGUGGGGUAAUGGCUCACCUAGGUGACGAUCCCUAGCUGGGCUGAGAGGAUGACCAGCGACACUGGAACUGAGGCACUGUCCAGACUCCUACGGGAGGCAGCAGUGGGGAAUAUUGCACAAUGGGCGCAAGGCUGAUGCAGCCAUGCCGCGUGUAUGAAGAAGGCCUUCGGGUUGUAGAGUACUUUCAGCGUGGAGGCGUUACUCGCAGAAGAAGCACCGGCUAACUCCGUGCCAGCAGCCGCGGUAAUUC